UAGGGAAUAUUGCACAAUGGGCGCAAGCCUGAUGCAGCAACGCCGCGUGCGCGACGAAGGCCUUCGGGUCGUAAAGCGCUUUUCGGGGAGAUGAGUACGGACAGUAUCCCCGGAAGAAGGAUCGGCUAACUACGUGCCAGCAGCCGCGGUAAAACGUAGGAUCCGAGCGUUAUCCGAAUUCACUGGGCGUAAAGCGCAUGCAGGCGGCCGCACAAGUUGGAUGUGAAAUCUCCCGGCUCAACUGGGAGGGGACGUUCAAAACUGUGCGGCUCGAGGGCGGUAGAGGAAGGUAGAAUUCCCGGUGUAGUGGUGAAAUGCGUAGAUAUCGGGAGGAAUACCCGUGGCGAAGGCGACCUUCUGGACCGUUUCUGACGCUCAGAUGCGAAAGCUAGGGGAGCGAACGGG
RNAcentral lists this ribosomal RNA (405 nucleotides) under uncultured bacterium. Its description in RNAcentral is "bacterial SSU rRNA". It matches the Rfam family "Bacterial small subunit ribosomal RNA", at positions 355 to 776 of the family's 1533-position model. The record is from RNAcentral.